Molecule: ribosomal RNA, 498 nt
Filed under: uncultured bacterium
Lineage: Bacteria
Description: partial 16S ribosomal RNA
Rfam family: Bacterial small subunit ribosomal RNA
Source: RNAcentral
GAUGAACGCUAGCGGCAGGCCUAAUACAUGCAAGUCGGACGGGAUUUGGGAGCUUGCUCCUAAUGAGAGUGGCGCACGGGUGCGUAGCACGUAUGUAACCUACCUUAAUCAGGGGGAUAGCCUCUCGAAAGAGAGAUUAACACCGCAUAAUAUAUUUUUAUGGCAUCGUAGAAAUAUCAAAUAUUUAUAGGAUUAAGAUGGGCAUGCGGAACAUUAGCUAGUUGGUAAGGUAACGGCUUACCAAGGCUACGAUGUUUAGGGGAUCUGAGAGGAUGACCCCCCACACUGGUACUGGGACACGGACCAGACUCCUACGGGAGGCAGCAGUAAGGAAUAUUGGUCAAUGGGCGCAAGCCUGAACCAGCCAUGCCGCGUGCAGGAAGACGGCCCUAUGGGUUGUAAACUGCUUUUGUACCGGAAUAAACCCUUUUACGUGUAAGAGGCUGAAUGUAUGGUAAGAAUAAGGAUCGGCUAACUCCGUGCCAGCCGCCGCCGUAA